Molecule: ribosomal RNA, 236 nt
Filed under: uncultured bacterium
Lineage: Bacteria
Description: partial 16S ribosomal RNA
Rfam family: Bacterial small subunit ribosomal RNA
Source: RNAcentral
GACCUGGCUCAGAUUGAACGCUGGCGGCAUGCUUUACACAUGCAAGUCGAACGGCAGCAUGGAGAGCUUGCUCUCUGAUGGCGAGUGGCGAACGGGUGAGUAAUACAUCGGAACGUGUCCUGUUGUGGGGGAUAACUACUCGAAAGAGUAGCUAAUACCGCAUAAGACCUAAGGGUGAAAGCGGGGGACCUUCGGGCCUCGCGCAGUUGGAGCGGCCGAUGACUGAUUAGCUUAGG